AUGGCCGUGCCCCCAGGAGAUCCCCACAAGUGUCUAGCCAGGAGUCCCUCAAGCUCCAAUGGGAGCUCCAUGUCCCUGCAGGGUUCUCUGUGUCCCUACAGGACCCCCGUGUGCCACCAAGAGAGCCCCACGCCCCUACAGGGUCCCUUAUGCUGUCCCCAUGCUCACCCCAGCUCCAGGCUGCCCCAAAACGCUGCUUCCCUGGUUCCCAAGGCUGGGGGCUGCCCCCCAGCCUCACCCCGAGCAGUGCCAGCCCCCCGUGUCCCCAUCCUGCCACGUACGUGUCUCCUCGGGCUGGGGCCAGACCCGCUCGGGUCUCCUCCUGCCCGGGGGCUUGGGGGGCUUCCGCUGCCGCCGGACGAACUCGACUGGGGACACAGAGGGUGGCGCUGGCUUUGUGCUGAGGGCGGGGGGGACGUGCCCCCCAUCCCUCCCCGUGGGCAGCGCCCGGCUCCGUACAGUCCUCGUAGUCCUCCCGCUCCAGCUGCUCGUUGUAGUCCAGGGUCGGGGGCUCCGGCUCCUCGGGGACCUCUGCAGACAAGAGACACGGGUGGCACUGGGGUCAGGCAGGACAGCAGGGAGGUGGCACUUGGGAACCCUGAGGUAAGGGUGGCCCUGGGGCACAGAGGAGGUGACACCUGGGAGCAGGGAAUGAGUGCAGGGCGCAGGAAAGGGACACCAGCCAGGAGGGAGGUGGCACUGGGAUGCAGGCAGAGGGUGCUGGGACAAAGGAAGGUGACACAGGGGUGCAGGAAGGUGGCAUUUGGGAACAAGGAGGUGCCUGUGCUGCAGGAGCAUGGCCCUGGGGUGCAGCAAGGUGACGUUUGGGGACAGGGAGGUAGUCCCAACACACAAGGAGAUAGCCCCAGGGUGCAGAGUGGUGGCCCUGGCCUGCAGAGGAGUGUCCCCAAGACAGGGUGGUGGCCCUGGGGACUGGGCACUCACCUGGCUGGGGCUCAGGGUUCCAGUCCUCCCCGCCCGGCCCCCAGCGCUCAUUUGGUGGCUCUUCCAGCUCUCCUGGGGACAGAGGGAGGGGCUGGCACGGCCUCCAGGCCCCUGGCCUGGCCCCCCCCAGCCCCACAGGGGGAAGAAAAUCCCACCAGAAGCAAAGUGGGAGGACAGAAGGGAAACCCACGGGGACAAAGCCCAGCCAGCUGUAGGUGCUGCCAGGGCAGCUGGGCAGGAUAUAGGGUGAAGCUCUGCUGGGCUGAGACCUCCCACCCCAACCCCACUAGUGGCAAGAUGGGUGUCCCCAAAACUCACCUCGGACACCUCCAUCCUCCUCCUCCUCCUCCUCCUUGUGAGAAGGCUCCAGGAACUCGGGGAUCUCUUCAUUCUCCUUGCCCUGUGAGGACUGGCGGACAGUAG
This 1368-nucleotide long non-coding RNA is filed under the name Taeniopygia guttata (zebra finch). RNAcentral's name for it is "lncRNA (ENSTGUG00000026323.1)". Lineage: Eukaryota; Metazoa; Chordata; Aves; Passeriformes; Estrildidae. The record is from RNAcentral.